RNAcentral lists this ribosomal RNA (301 nucleotides) under uncultured bacterium. Its description in RNAcentral is "partial 16S ribosomal RNA". It matches the Rfam family "Bacterial small subunit ribosomal RNA", at positions 510 to 808 of the family's 1533-position model. The record is from RNAcentral.
CACCGCCGCGGUAAUACGAAGGGGGCUAGCGUUGUUCGGAAUUACUGGGCGUAAAGCGCACGUAGGCGGACAUUUAAGUCAGGGGUGAAAUCCCGGGGCUCAACCCCGGAACUGCCUUUGAUACUGGGUGUCUUGAGUGUGGAAGAGGUCAGUGGAAUUGCGAGUGUAGAGGUGAGAUUCGUAGAUAUUCGCAGGAACACCAGUGGCGAAGGCGGCUGACUGGUCCACAACUGACGCUGAGGUGCGAAAGCGUGGGGAGCAAACAGGAUUAGAUACCCCUGUAGUCCCUGUCUCUUAUACA